GCCAGGCAUGGUGGCACAUGCCUGUAAUUCCUGCAGCUUGGGAGGCUGAGAUAGGAGGAUCACAAAUUCAAAGCCAGUCUCAGCAAAAGUGAGUCACUAAGCAACUCAGUGAGAUCCUGUCUUGA
RNAcentral lists this small RNA (125 nucleotides) under Marmota monax (woodchuck). The record is from RNAcentral. Lineage: Eukaryota; Metazoa; Chordata; Mammalia; Rodentia; Sciuridae.